Molecule: ribosomal RNA, 468 nt
Filed under: uncultured bacterium
Lineage: Bacteria
Description: partial 16S ribosomal RNA
Rfam family: Bacterial small subunit ribosomal RNA
Source: RNAcentral
GACGAACGCUGGCGGCGUGCUUAACACAUGCAAGUCGAACGGAAAGGCCCUGCUUUUGUGGGGUUCUCGAGUGGCGAACGGGUGAGUAACACGUGAGUAACCUGCCCUUGACUUUGGGAUAACUUCAGGAAACUGGGGCUAAUACCGGAUAGGAUCUCCUGCUGCAUGGUGGGGGUUGGAAAGUUUCGGCGGUUGGGGAUGGACUCGCGGCUUAUCAGCUUGUUGGUGGGGUAGUGGCUUACCAAGGCUUUGACGGGUAGCCGGCCUGGGAGGGUGACCGGCCACAUUGGGACUGCGAUACGGCCCAGAAUCCUACGGGAGGCAGCAGUGGGGAAUAUUGCACAAUGGGCGGAAGCCUGAUGCAGCAACGCCGCGUGCGUGAUGCCGGCCUUCGGGUUGUAAACCGCUUUCGCCUGUGACGAAGCGUGAGUGACGGUACUGGGUCAAGAAGCACCGGCUAACUACGUG